Molecule: small nucleolar RNA, 139 nt
Organism: Cebus imitator (Panamanian white-faced capuchin)
Lineage: Eukaryota; Metazoa; Chordata; Mammalia; Primates; Cebidae
Source: Ensembl
AUAGAGGGAAAGGUCGCUAAAAGAACACUGCAUUCCUGUAGCCUGCACGUUGUUGGAAAUGCCUCACAGAGUAACUCUGUGGUUUUACUUCCCUCACAGGGUUGUUGUUAGAUCUGUGGGAAAGAACUACAAGACAGUU